GACGAACGCUGGCGGCGUGCUUAACACAUGCAAGUCGAACGGAAAGGCCCUGCUUUUGUGGGGUGCUCGAGUGGCGAACGGGUGAGUAACACGUGAGUAACCUGCCCUUGACUUUGGGAUAACUUCAGGAAACUGGGGCUAAUACCGGAUAUGAGCUCCUGCUGCAUGGUGGGGGUUGGAAAGUUUCGGCGGUUGGGGAUGGACUCGCGGCUUAUCAGCUUGUUGGUGGGGUAGUGGCUUACCAAGGCUUUGACGGGUAGCCGGCCUGAGAGGGUGACCGGCCACAUUGGGACUGAGAGACGGCCCAGACUCCUAAGGGAGGCAGCAGUGGGGAAUAUUGCACAAUGGGCGGAAGCCUGAUGCAGCAACGCCGCGUGCGGGAUGACGGCCUUAGGGUUGUAAACCGCUUUCGCCUGUGACGAAGCGUGAGUGAAGGUAAUGGGUAAAGAAGCACAGGCUAACUACGUG
RNAcentral lists this ribosomal RNA (468 nucleotides) under uncultured bacterium. RNAcentral describes it as "partial 16S ribosomal RNA". It matches the Rfam family "Bacterial small subunit ribosomal RNA", at positions 28 to 507 of the family's 1533-position model. The record is from RNAcentral.